CUACAUUCAGAGCUUUAUCUAUACACAGACAGGGGCUGCACAUGCAGGUGGAGAAGCCCUUUGAACACCCCCGUGACUCUGCGGUGUCAUCUAGUUAAUCUGUAAACCUAGAGGGAGUCCUCCCUUCUGUUGUACGACUGUGAUGCUUAGUAUCAGCACUGUAUUCAGGAGCAGCCCAAGAUAGGACUAGAGUGGGUAGCGGACCUCUGAUGACCAGCAAGGGAGAUGGCAGAGCUUCCUUCAAAAGCCACCGCUGCUUCGAUGGUCAUCACACAGAGAUCUGGCAGGAUCCCAUAUUCUACAUGACUCUUAAAAGAAAACACAUGUGGCUUGUGAUAUCAUUGCAUAGCACAGUGUUUUUAUAAUUUUACUUACAUUAUGUUAUGUACUUUAAUCCUUUGAACUUUAAGAAACAGAAAAUUAAGUAUCUCUCCGAUUGUGCGUAAAGGAAAAUAUAUCUUGCCUCAUAUUUUGAUAAUACUUUUAUGUAACUGAUCUCAUUUAAAUCAUAUAACAACCCACUGUGGCCAAUUACAGGUCUUACCCCAACUUUACCGCUCUGAACACUGAGCCUCGGGACAUGGCUUUGAUGUGAUUUACAAGGUGGACCUGAUGUUCAUUUUCCAUUGCCACAGCGACAGGAAGGAAAGCUGAAACCAGGAGUGCCGGCGGGAGAGCUGCAGGGCAGGACGCAAUGCCAUCAAGUGACUGGAGUCUCGUUAUUAGGAAAUGUGGAAAGGUUACUGAAACUGCAUCCAGUGAAGGCUUUAUAGUUUUUAAAAACCUCAAAAUGAAGGUUAGUCUGGCAAGGGAUGGCCAACCCCUCACAAAGCUAUUAACCCAUCUAAUUGGAAUUUGAUCAUGACAAUUAAAGGCACAUGUCAGUCUUUUCUUUUUAUGACCUUCAAAUAAGAUCUACGUCUGAAAGCCCUGUCUAUGACGACAAUUGAUUUCAGUUCAUUUCAGUCGCUCAGUCGUGUCCGACUCUUUGUGACCCCAUGAAUCGCAGCAUGCCAGGCCUCACUGUCCAUCACCAGUUCCCAGAGUUCACUCAGACUCAUGUCCAUUGAGUCGGUGAUGCCAUCCAGCCAUCUCAUCCUCUGUCGCCCCCUUCUCCUUCUGCCCCCAACCCCUCCCAGCAUAAGGGUCUUUUCCAAUGAGUCAACUCUUCCCAUGAGGUGGCCAAAGUACUGGAGUUCCAGCUUUAGCAUCAUUCCUUCCAAAGAAAUCCCAGGACUAAUUUCCUUCAGAAUGGACUGGUUGGAUCUCCUUGCAGUCCAUGGACUCUCAAGAGUCUUCUCCAACACCACAGUUUAAAAGCAUCACUUCUUCGGUGCUCAGCUUUCUUCACAGUCCAACUCUCACAUCCAUACAUGACCACUGGAGAAACCAUAGCCUUGACUAGACGGACCUUUGUUGGCAAAGUAAUGUCUCUGCUUUUGAAUAUGUUAUCUAGGUUGGUCAUAACUUUCCUUCCCAGGAGUAAGCGUCUUUUAAUUUCAUGGCUGCAGUCACCAUCUGCAGUGAUUUUGGAGCCCAAAAAAAAAAUAAGUCUGACACUGUUUCCACUGUUUCCCCAUCUAUUUCCCAUGAAGUGAUGGGGCCAGAUGCCAUGAUCUUCGUUUUCUGAAUGUUGAGCUUUAAGCCAAUUUUUUCACUCUCCUCUUUCACUUUCAUCAAGAGGCUUUUUAGUUCCUCUUCACUUUCUGCCAAGGCAAUGCCAAAGAAUGCUCAAACUACCACACAAUUGCACUCAUCUCACACACUAGUAAAGUAAUGCUCAAAAUUCUCCAAGCCAGGCUUUAGCAAUACGUGAACCGUGAACUUCCAGAUGUUCAAGCUGGUUUUAGAAAAGGCAGAGGAACCAAAGAUCAAAUUGCCAACAUCUGCUGGAUCAUCGAAAAAGCAAGAGAGUUCCAGAAAAACAUCUAUUUCUGCUUUAUUGACUAUUCCAAAGCCUUUGACUGUGUGGAUCACAAUAAAUUGUGGAAAAUUCUGAAAGAGAUAGGAAUACCAGACCACCUGACCUGACUCUUGAGAAACCUAUAUGCAGGUCAGGAAGCAACAGUUAGAACUGGACAUGGACUGGUUCCAAAUAGGAAAAGGAGUACGUCAAGACUGUAUAUUGUCAACCUGCUUAUUGAACUUAUAUGCAGAGUACAUCAUGAGAAACGCUGGGCUGGAAGAAGCACAAGCUGGAAUCAAGGUUGCCGGGAGAAAUAUCAAUAACCUCAGAUAUACAGACAAUUGGUUUAGAAAACAGAAAAUUGUGUGAGGGGCAUUAAAAAGAAGGUCUGGCCUUCAGUAAACCUUUUACCCUUCUUUGGAAUAAGUGUGUUACUUCGUGUUAUCUUUGCUUUUACUUUUAAAAUGAUUAUUCUCAACUUGAGGCAUAAUCUACAAGAUCUAUGCUCUUCAAAAUAUCAAUGUCAUGAAAGACAAAUAAAAGCUGAUGAAGUGUUUCAGGUCAAAAAUGGGUAGAGUGACAAAUAAAUGCAAAAAACAACCCCGGGUUUUUUUUUUUCGCUAUAAAAGACACUAAUGGAAAAAGUGGUGAGAUAUGAAUAAGGCCUGGAUAUUAGAUAACAGUCUCACAUCAAUAUUAAUUUGCUAAUUAUGAUAAUUGUGUGUGAUUCUGUAAGAUAAUAUCCUAAUUUGGGACUAUGUAGAUAUUCAUUUCAAUUAAUACUUAUCCUUGAAGUAUUUAGGGUUAAAGGUAGCAUUGUGUAUGCAACUCACCCUCCGAUAGUUCAGGAAAAGAUUACACAUACAAAGAGAGAGAAGAAUAAAGCAGUGUGAUCCAUAUCUGAGGAUCUGGUGUGAAGCUGUUUGGAAAUCAUUGUAUUAUUCUUUCCUGUAAGUUGAAAAUUAUGUCAAGUACAAAACUGAAGUAAUGAAAGAUAGCUUUUAAAUCUUAAAACAUGUUUAACAUGGUCUUAUUAACAUUAUAUAAAUAUUGCAAGGCACCACCAUAAACACUUAGGAUAGUGCUUUUCCCAAAGCUUUUUAUUUUGUAUUGGGGUAAAUCUAAUUAACAAUGUUGUCAUAGUUUCAGGUAAACAGUGAAGGGACUUAGCAUACACAGUCAUGUCUGCAUUCUCCCUCAAACACCCCUCCCAUACAGGCUGCCAUAUAGCAUUGAGCCGAGUUCCAUGUGCUAUACAGUAGGUCCUUGGCGGUUAACCAUUUUAAAUAUAACAGUGUGUACAUGUCCAUCCCAAACCCCCUCACUAUCCCUUCCCUCCAUCUUCCCCACCACCAUCCCCGCCUCAGCAACCAGAAGUUCAUUCUCUGUCAGUCUGUUUCUGUUUUGUAAAUCAUUCAUUUAAUUACUGAUAAUAUGUGUUUUCCUUUUCAUGACAUACACUAAAAUCCUAAUGAUGAAACCUGAUUUUGCAUUUAUAGUAAGAAAUGAGCUAACUAGUCUUACUAUUAUAUAUAUAUAUAUAUAUAUAUAUAUAUAUCACCAGGAGCAGCAAAUCCUGCCCGUCAUCCAACAGCAAGAAUUGUCCCCUAAGAGAGCUGAUUUACACAGCAGGACAUCAAAUAGAUGAUAAAGGCACAGAAUAUUGGUGAGCAGUUUAAAGGAAUACUAUCAUUUUUACCACUGUACAUUUGAAUAUCACUUUUCUUUUUUUUUAUAAGUAUUUUUGCCCAUAUUAUCUCAUUGUAUACCCUGCCUUAUAUUUAAAACUUGCCGUUUUUCAAGUGGCCAUUUUCACAGCUAGAUGGGAUUUUUAAAAAAUCUAUGUAUAUUUGAAGCUGGUUAAAAACAUCUAUAAUCUGAGAAAGACCUCUUAUUGACUGGAGCUAGAAAAGGAAGAAGGGGAUUUUAUUAUUCUCAAAACUCCUGGAA
Molecule: long non-coding RNA, 3856 nt
Organism: Bos taurus (domestic cattle)
Lineage: Eukaryota; Metazoa; Chordata; Mammalia; Artiodactyla; Bovidae
Source: Ensembl